UCUGCAUCCAUAUUUGAAGUGCAUUGUUUAAUAGUCUGCAAAGAAAAAGACACGAAAUUUUUAAGGCACAAAUGUAGUUCUAGCAGAGAGAAGCCACUGUGAAAUGUUACUAAAGCUACAAUGACUAUGAAAGGGAAGGGUGAAUUUCAAAGGGGAAGGUUUUUGCAAGUUUGAACUUGCACAAAAACACCCCUCACCUGUCUGACCAAUGAGAGGGCUGCUCUUUUGUUACAUCAUGCUUUACAUGCACGGUGUAGCUUAUGUGUUGAAACCAGAGUUUAAAAAUUACUAACUGACAAUUCAACAAAUUAACACUCAAUUUUGCAAGCUGCUCCUCUGUCAUGCUGCUGCAUGAUGUUUUGAUUUUUAGUAUAACUUUGUGCU
This 384-nucleotide long non-coding RNA is filed under the name Copidosoma floridanum. RNAcentral's name for it is "uncharacterized LOC111643052, transcript variant X1". The record is from RNAcentral. Lineage: Eukaryota; Metazoa; Arthropoda; Insecta; Hymenoptera; Encyrtidae.